UACGGAAGGCAGCAGUGGGGAAUAUUGCACAAUGGGCGCAAGCCUGAUGCAGCCAUGCCGCGUGUAUGAAGAAGGCCUUCGGGUUGUAAAGUACUUUCAGUCGUGAGGAAGGUGUUAAGGUUAAUAACCUUAGCAAUUGACGUUAGCGACAGAAGAAGCACCGGCUAACUCCGUGCCAGCAGCCGCGGUAAUACGGGAGGGUGCGAGCGUUAAUCGGAAUUACUGGGCGUAAAGGGCACGCAGGCGGUUAAUUAAGUUGGAUGUGAAAUCCCCGGGCUUAACCUGGGAAUGGCAUUCAAGACUGGUUAGCUAGAGUCUUGUAGAGGGGGUAGAAUUCCAUGUGUAGCGGUGAAAUGCGUAGAGAUGUGGAGGAAUACCGGUGGCGAAGGCGGCCCCUGGGACAAAGACUGACGCUCAUGUGCGAAAGCGUGGGGAGCAAACAGGAUUAGAUACC
Molecule: ribosomal RNA, 454 nt
Filed under: uncultured bacterium
Lineage: Bacteria
Description: bacterial SSU rRNA
Rfam family: Bacterial small subunit ribosomal RNA
Source: RNAcentral